Molecule: unclassified non-coding RNA, 336 nt
Filed under: soil metagenome
Description: partial contains 5.8S ribosomal RNA, internal transcribed spacer 2, and large subunit ribosomal RNA
Rfam family: 5.8S ribosomal RNA (bases 1-120)
Source: RNAcentral
GAUGAAGAACGUAGCGAAAUGCGAUAAGUAAUGUGAAUUGCAGAAUUCAGUGAAUCAUCGAAUCUUUGAACGCACAUUGCGCCCGCCAGUAUUCUGGCGGGCAUGCCUGUCCGAGCGUCAUUUCAACCAUCAAGCCCCAGGCUUGUGUUGGGGACCUGCGGCUGCCGCAGGCCCUGAAAACCAGUGGCGGGCUCGCUGUCACACCGGGCGUAGUAGAUUUUAUCUCGCUCAGGGCGUGCUGCGGGUUCCGGCCGUUAAAAAGCCUUUUUUACCCAAGGUUGACCUCGGAUCAGGUAGGAAGACCCGCUGAACUUAAGCAUAUCAAUAAGCGGAGGA